GGUUCCUGUCCUGAGACCACAGCAGGAUGUGCCUUGGACAAAGGCUUGGACUCCUGGAUCAUCUGGUGACUUCAAAUAUAUGGUCUCAGGGUGGUGAACCUCUUCUCUGAAUUCCUAACCUGUGAGCUUAUGAUGAUGGUGCCUGUCAAUUAACUGAACAACACUGGU
This is a long non-coding RNA of Lynx canadensis (Canada lynx), 168 nucleotides long. RefSeq lists it as uncharacterized. The transcript has 4 exons. The record is from RefSeq and is a predicted model, not a curated record. NCBI's taxonomy places the organism in Eukaryota, Metazoa, Chordata, Mammalia, Carnivora, Felidae.